GAGAUCGCCUCAGUGACUUGCAAGCAACUCACUGUGCUUUGGUACUGGACUAACUGAAUUUUUAAUUCAGAGACGGAAGGCUUCUGGGCACAGUCAAGUACUUACGAAGUCAGAGUGUGAUCGAGAUGGGAUUGACCACUCCAAGAGUUGGAGAAGAAUAAGUCGUUGUAUUUCAAUUUAGCAGAACCUUGGCCAGGGUAAUCCAUCAGAUGGAUUUGAUAUUUUAAAAUACAAUGUGGACAACCUGAUCAGAGUUGACAGUGGAGCUCUGGGGUGUNNNN
RNAcentral lists this long non-coding RNA (281 nucleotides) under Elaeis guineensis (African oil palm). Its description in RNAcentral is "long non-coding RNA (EGUI_LNC040765)". Lineage: Eukaryota; Viridiplantae; Streptophyta; Magnoliopsida; Arecales; Arecaceae. The record is from RNAcentral.